Molecule: long non-coding RNA, 876 nt
Filed under: Medicago truncatula (barrel medic)
Lineage: Eukaryota; Viridiplantae; Streptophyta; Magnoliopsida; Fabales; Fabaceae
Description: long non-coding RNA (MTRU_LNC007736)
Source: RNAcentral
UUCUUUGGUGGUGGUGGAGAGUGGUAGUAGGGCUUAGGGCUGACGUGAUGCACUGGUGGAGGAGGAGAGGAAUAUUUGUAUGGCUUCUUUGGUGGUGGUGGGGAAUGGUAGUAAGGUUUAGGGCUUAACAUGCACUGGUGGUGGAGGAGAAGAAUAUUUGUAUGGUUUCUUUGGGGGUGGUGGAGAAUGGUAGUAAGGUUUAGGGUGGACAUAUGGUGGAGGAGGAGAAGAAUACUUGUAAGGUUUCUUUGGUGGUGGUGGUGGUGAACUGUAAUGGUAGGGAGGAGGAGGUGUAUAAACGGUGGGGGUGGAGAGUGGUAGUAGUAUGGUUUCUUAGGUGGUGAGUACACUGGUGGUGGUGGUGAAGAGUAAUGGUAAGGUGGUUUAACUGGAGGGUACACCCCCGGUGGUGGGGAAUGUGGAGGGUACACCUUAGGUGGUGGUGGAGAACUAUAAUGGUAAGGUGGUGAGACUGGUGGAUACACCUCAGGUGGUGGUGAAUGUGGAGGGUAUUUCUUAGGUGGUGGUGGGGAAGAGUAAUGGUAAGGUGGUUUAACUGGUGGGUACACCUUGGGUGGUGGUGAAUGUGGAGGGUACACCUUAGGAGGUGGUGGUGAAGAGUAAUGGUAAGGUGGUGAAACUGGAGGAUACACCUUAGGUGGUGGUGAAUGAGGAGGAUACUUCUUAGGUGGUGGUGGUGAAGAGUAAUGGUAAGGUGGUGAAACUGGAGGGUACACCUUAGGUGGUGGUGAAUGUGGAGGGUACACCUUAGGUGGUGGUGGUGAAGGGUAGUGGUAAGGUGGGGAAACUGGAGGGUAGACCUUAGAAGGUGGAGGAGGUGAAGAAUACAAGUAGCUGUUUGCUGAAAUUUGAGAU